RNAcentral lists this ribosomal RNA (253 nucleotides) under uncultured bacterium. RNAcentral describes it as "partial 16S ribosomal RNA". It matches the Rfam family "Bacterial small subunit ribosomal RNA", at positions 524 to 776 of the family's 1533-position model. The record is from RNAcentral.
GACGAACCGUGCGAACGUUGUUCGGAAUCACUGGGCUUAAAGGGCGCGUAGGUGGUCUGUCAAGUCGGGGGUGAAAUCUUUCGGCUCAACCGGAAAACUGCCUUCGAUACUGGCAGACUAGAGGGAGGUAGGGGUUGCGGGAACUACCAGUGGAGCGGUGAAAUGCGUUGAUAUUGGUAGGAACGCCGGUGGCGAAAGCGCGCAACUGGAUCUCUUCUGACACUGAGGCGCGAAAGCUAGGGGAGCAAACGGG